CAAAAACAUGUCUUUUUGAUUAUAAUUUAAAGUCUAACCUGCCCAAUGAGGAGUUAAAUGGCCGCGGUAUUUUGACCGUGCAAAGGUAGCAUAAUCAUUAGUUUUUUAAUUGAAAGCUGGUAUGAAUGGUUGGACGAGAAAAUAACUGUCUCAAUUUAAAUUAAAUUAGAAUUUUAUUUAUGAGUAAAAAAGCUCAUAUAAGUUUAAAAGACGAGAAGACCCUAUAGAAUUUAAUAUUUAUAUGUAUAUAUUAUUUUUAGAAUUAAUAAUAAGUUAUAUAUAUUUAUAUUUUGUUGGGGUGAUAGAAAAAUUUAAAUAACUUUUUUUAUAUAAAAACAUUAAUGCAUGAGAAAGUGAUCCGUUAAUUACGAUUAUAAGAUUAAAUUACCUUAGGGAUAACAGCGUAAUUUUUUUUUAGAGUUCUUAUCGAAAAAAGAGUUUGCGACCUCGAUGUUGGAUUAAAAUUAACUUUUGGUGUAGGGGCU
This 485-nucleotide ribosomal RNA is filed under the name Xylotrupes pubescens beaudeti. RNAcentral's name for it is "partial large subunit ribosomal RNA". It matches the Rfam family "Bacterial large subunit ribosomal RNA", at positions 1808 to 2563 of the family's 2925-position model. The record is from RNAcentral. Lineage: Eukaryota; Metazoa; Arthropoda; Insecta; Coleoptera; Scarabaeidae.